RNAcentral lists this ribosomal RNA (2600 nucleotides) under Escherichia albertii. RNAcentral's name for it is "partial 23S ribosomal RNA". It matches the Rfam family "Bacterial large subunit ribosomal RNA", at positions 361 to 2925 of the family's 2925-position model. The record is from RNAcentral. Lineage: Bacteria; Pseudomonadati; Pseudomonadota; Gammaproteobacteria; Enterobacterales; Enterobacteriaceae.
AGGGUGACAGCCCCGUACACAAAAAUGCACAUGCUGUGAGCUCGAUGAGUAGGGCGGGACACGUGGUAUCCUGUCUGAAUAUGGGGGGACCAUCCUCCAAGGCUAAAUACUCCUGACUGACCGAUAGUGAACCAGUACCGUGAGGGAAAGGCGAAAAGAACCCCGGCGAGGGGAGUGAAAAAGAACCUGAAACCGUGUACGUACAAGCAGUGGGAGCCCUGAUUUAUCAGGGUGACUGCGUACCUUUUGUAUAAUGGGUCAGCGACUUAUAUUCUGUAGCAAGGUUAACCGAAUAGGGGAGCCGGAGGGAAACCGAGUCUUAACUGGGCGUUAAGUUGCAGGGUAUAGACCCGAAACCCGGUGAUCUAGCCAUGGGCAGGUUGAAGGUUGGGUAACACUAACUGGAGGACCGAACCGACUAAUGUUGAAAAAUUAGCGGAUGACUUGUGGCUGGGGGUGAAAGGCCAAUCAAACCGGGAGAUAGCUGGUUCUCCCCGAAAGCUAUUUAGGUAGCGCCUCGUGAAUUCAUCUCCGGGGGUAGAGCACUGUUUCGGCAAGGGGGUCAUCCCGACUUACCAACCCGAUGCAAACUGCGAAUACCGGAGAAUGUUAUCACGGGAGACACACGGCGGGUGCUAACGUCCGUCGUGAAGAGGGAAACAACCCAGACCGCCAGCUAAGGUCCCAAAGUCAUGGUUAAGUGGGAAACGAUGUGGGAAGGCCCAGACAGCCAGGAUGUUGGCUUAGAAGCAGCCAUCAUUUAAAGAAAGCGUAAUAGCUCACUGGUCGAGUCGGCCUGCGCGGAAGAUGUAACGGGGCUAAACCAUGCACCGAAGCUGCGGCAGCGACACUAUGUGUUGUUGGGUAGGGGAGCGUUCUGUAAGCCUGUGAAGGUGUGCUGUGAGGCAUGCUGGAGGUAUCAGAAGUGCGAAUGCUGACAUAAGUAACGAUAAAGCGGGUGAAAAGCCCGCUCGCCGGAAGACCAAGGGUUCCUGUCCAACGUUAAUCGGGGCAGGGUGAGUCGACCCCUAAGGCGAGGCCGAAAGGCGUAGUCGAUGGGAAACAGGUUAAUAUUCCUGUACUUGGUGUUACUGCGAAGGGGGGACGGAGAAGGCUAUGUUGGCCGGGCGACGGUUGUCCCGGUUUAAGCGUGUAGGCUGGUUUUCCAGGCAAAUCCGGAAAAUCAAGGCUGAGGCGUGAUGACGAGGCACUACGGUGCUGAAGCAACAAAUGCCCUGCUUCCAGGAAAAGCCUCUAAGCAUCAGGUAACAUCAAAUCGUACCCCAAACCGACACAGGUGGUCAGGUAGAGAAUACCAAGGCGCUUGAGAGAACUCGGGUGAAGGAACUAGGCAAAAUGGUGCCGUAACUUCGGGAGAAGGCACGCUGAUAUGUAGGUGAAGCGACUUGCUCGUGGAGCUGAAAUCAGUCGAAGAUACCAGCUGGCUGCAACUGUUUAUUAAAAACACAGCACUGUGCAAACACGAAAGUGGACGUAUACGGUGUGACGCCUGCCCGGUGCCGGAAGGUUAAUUGAUGGGGUCAGCGCAAGCGAAGCUCUUGAUCGAAGCCCCGGUAAACGGCGGCCGUAACUAUAACGGUCCUAAGGUAGCGAAAUUCCUUGUCGGGUAAGUUCCGACCUGCACGAAUGGCGUAAUGAUGGCCAGGCUGUCUCCACCCGAGACUCAGUGAAAUUGAACUCGCUGUGAAGAUGCAGUGUACCCGCGGCAAGACGGAAAGACCCCGUGAACCUUUACUAUAGCUUGACACUGAACACUGGUCCUUGAUGUGUAGGAUAGGUGGGAGGCUUUGAAGUGUGGACGCCAGUCUGCAUGGAGCCGUCCUUGAAAUACCACCCUUUAAUGGCUGGUGUUCUAACGUUGGCCCCUUACCGGGGUUGCGGACAGUGUCUGGUGGGUAGUUUGACUGGGGCGGUCUCCUCCUAAAGAGUAACGGAGGAGCACGAAGGUUGGCUAAUCCUGGUCGGACAUCAGGAGGUUAGUGCAAUGGCAUAAGCCAGCUUGACUGCGAGCGUGACGGCGCGAGCAGGUGCGAAAGCAGGUCAUAGUGAUCCGGUGGUUCUGAAUGGAAGGGCCAUCGCUCAACGGAUAAAAGGUACUCCGGGGAUAACAGGCUGAUACCGCCCAAGAGUUCAUAUCGACGGCGGUGUUUGGCACCUCGAUGUCGGCUCAUCACAUCCUGGGGCUGAAGUAGGUCCCAAGGGUAUGGCUGUUCGCCAUUUAAAGUGGUACGCGAGCUGGGUUUAGAACGUCGUGAGACAGUUCGGUCCCUAUCUGCCGUGGGCGCUGGAGAACUGAGGGGGGCUGCUCCUAGUACGAGAGGACCGGAGUGGACGCAUCACUGGUGUUCGGGUUGUCAUGCCAAUGGCACUGCCCGGUAGCUAAAUGCGGAAGAGAUAAGUGCUGAAAGCAUCUAAGCACGAAACUUGCCCCGAGAUGAGUUCUCCCUGAGACCUGGAGUCUCCUGAAGGAACGUUGAAGACGACGACGUUGAUAGGCCGGGUGUGUAAGCGCAGCGAUGCGUUGAGCUAACCGGUACUAAUGAACCGUGAGGCUUAACCUUACAACGCCGAAGGUGUUU